AGUGAACGCUGGCGGUAGGCCUAACACAUGCAAGUCGAACGGCAGCACAGUAAGAGCUUGCUCUUACGGGUGGCGAGUGGCGGACGGGUGAGGAAUACAUCGGAAUCUACUUUUUCGUGGGGGAUAACGUAGGGAAACUUACGCUAAUACCGCAUACGACCUACGGGUGAAAGCAGGGGAUCUUCGGACCUUGCGCGAUUGAAUGAGCCGAUGUCGGAUUAGCUAGUUGGCGGGGUAAAGGCCCACCAAGGCGACGAUCCGUAGCUGGUCUGAGAGGAUGGUCGGCCACACUGGAACUUAGACACCGUCCAGGCUCCUACGGGAGGCAGCAGUGGGGAAUAUUGGACAAUGGGCGCAAGCCUGAUCCAGCCAUACCGCGUGGGUGAAGAAGGCCUUCGGGUUGUAAAGCCCUUUUGUUGGGAAAGAAAAGCAGCAGGUUAAUACCCCGCUGUUCUGACGGUACCCAAAGAAUAAGCACCGGCUAACUUCGUG
RNAcentral lists this ribosomal RNA (492 nucleotides) under uncultured bacterium. RNAcentral describes it as "partial 16S ribosomal RNA". It matches the Rfam family "Bacterial small subunit ribosomal RNA", at positions 29 to 507 of the family's 1533-position model. The record is from RNAcentral.